Molecule: ribosomal RNA, 468 nt
Filed under: uncultured bacterium
Lineage: Bacteria
Description: partial 16S ribosomal RNA
Rfam family: Bacterial small subunit ribosomal RNA
Source: RNAcentral
GACGAACGCUGGCGGCGUGCUUAACACAUGCAAGUCGAACGGAAAGGCCCUGCUUUUGUGGGGUGCUCGAGUGGCGAACGGGUGAGUAACACGUGAGUAACCUGCCCUUGACUUUGGGAUAACUUCAGGAAACUGGGGCUAAUACCGGAUAGGAGCUCCUGCUGCAUGGUGGGGGUUGGAAAGUUUCGGCGGUUGGGGAUGGACUCGCGGCUUAUCAGCUUGUUGGUGGGGUAGUGGCUUACCAAGGCUUUGACGGGUAGCCGGCCUGAGAGGGUGACCGGCCACAUUGGGACUGAGAUACGGCCCAGACUCCUACGGGAGGCAGCAGUGGGGAAUAUUGCACAAUGGGCGGAAGCCUGAUGCAGCAACGCCGCGUGCGGGAUGACGGCCUUCGGGUUGUAAACCGCUUUCGCCUGUGACGAAGCGUGAGCGACGGUAAUGGGUAAAGAAGCACCGGCUAACUACGUA